Trichoderma simmonsii is the source of this 112-nucleotide non-coding RNA. The record is from the annotation of a GenBank genome assembly. NCBI's taxonomy places the organism in Eukaryota, Fungi, Ascomycota, Sordariomycetes, Hypocreales, Hypocreaceae.
GGCUUCAUGGUCUAGUGGUAUGAUUCCUGCUUCGGGAAAAACAAACCUGGAGUCCCCGGUUCUCUAGAAUCGCCUUUGCAGGAGGCCCCGGGUUCGAAUCCCGGUGAAGCCC